Molecule: long non-coding RNA, 1422 nt
Filed under: Homo sapiens (human)
Lineage: Eukaryota; Metazoa; Chordata; Mammalia; Primates; Hominidae
Description: HSALNT0077502
Source: RNAcentral
GGCUGCGCUCAGCUCACAUUACCAGCCUGGAUCCCAUACCUGCCAAGGGCGAGCCAGAUGCAGAGCGACAGAGGUGUGUGGCUCUUUCAGUCGUGCCAUUUGGCAUGUCCUGAGUUCUUGUCGCUGUGUGCAGGAAGAAUGAAGUAUGCAGACAAUUGGAGGGUGAGCAAGGCGAAGAGGAGCUUCCUUGAGCGACAGAACAGCUCUCAGGAAACCGGAAAGUUUGAAGAUCUGGCAGCAUUGAGCAAGCCUUCCCACAUGGCCAUGGUUGACAAGAGCUACAGAGAUUGCCCUCUAUGUACAUUUGCUAAAAUAUAAAUUCCGUGAAGAUUCAUGAAGAACCAUUUUGUUGCUUGAUGCAACCUGAACACCUGGAAGAGCUGAUGCUCAAUACAUAUUUAUCACAUGAAUCACCCUGUAGUUUCUCAGUAAACAUUUGUUAAAUUAACAAGGCAUAGGUUCUCCAAUCUGACACCCAGUAGUCCUUAUUUUAUUAUACUCAAAUUACCUCUCUCUUAUUUACGUUAUUUCUCUGGCCUCAUAGGCAUUUAAAAUUUUUAUUUAAAAAAUUGUGGUAAAAUAUACAUAAAGUUUAUCAUUUUUAGCAUUUUUAGUGUACAAUGCAGUGAGACUAAGUAUACUUACAAUGUUGUGCGGUUGUCACCACUAUCCAUCUCCAGAACUUUUUCAUCUUUCCAAACUGAAACUCAGCACCGAUUAACAAAUAACUCUCCAUUGCCCUUUCCCACCAGACUCUGUCAAUCACCGCUCUUUGUUCUGUCUCUACAGAUUUAAUUUCUUUAAGUAGCUCAUAUAAGUAGAAUCAUACAAUAUUUGUCCUUUUGGGUGCUGCAAGAAUUUAAUGUAUCAUACCUGUUUAAUUUACUGCCUUCAUAUAUUAGAGUUGGAAGAAACUAAGGCUCAGAAGGAUGAAAGUGAGUGUGCAUAGACACAUAACACACUGAUGGUCCACUUACUCUGGAAAGAAAGACCGUUUCUUUCCUCCAAGAUCUGUGUUCUUUGUACUGCAACAUGCUGAAUUACCCAUUUUACCACUUACAGAAGGAAGUGUUCUAGACUUCUAAGUCAAGAAUGAGUGAAAACAUCACAAUUAGACUAAAUUUAGCCCAAACUUAUGUCAUGGCAUGGAAUUUGAAAAGAAUCCUUAAUCAUAUGAUAAUGUACAAAAAGUCACACCCACAAACUUAUAAGUAAAUUGUAAUCAUUUAAAAUCUCUCUCUAUUCUCUGUUGAAUUAUCUGAUUGCAUAUAUCUCUAUUUUUGGCAACCUACUGAAAGAACUUACACUAGCAUAAGCAUACAAACAAAUGUGUGAAUGUUCCAAAUACAUGCUUUAAAUCCCUCCGCUGGCCUCAGUUGAUUGGAAGUGUCAUCAGAACACCAUUCUGGGAACUGAUUUUUU